This 1443-nucleotide long non-coding RNA is filed under the name Triticum aestivum (bread wheat). RNAcentral's name for it is "long non-coding RNA (TAES_LNC006604)". Lineage: Eukaryota; Viridiplantae; Streptophyta; Magnoliopsida; Poales; Poaceae. The record is from RNAcentral.
AAAUGGGUCCAUUAGUCAAACAGGUCCCACUUGUCAGGUUCUGAUAAAUGGGUCCCAGCUAUUAGGCUCGGAUUCUUCAUAUUUCAAUUUGACAUCAUAUUUGAAUUUCAUAGUAAGAAAAUAACCAGUAUUUAAAUAGCAAGAAAACACACAUAAUUAUUCAAAUAACAAUAGCCAAAUUCACUACAAGCUCUACAAAUGACACGUAAUACAAGCUCUAACAUAUACAAUGCUUUACAAGCUCUACAAAUGCAAAGCUCUACAGUACUUUACAAGCUCUCCAAGUAAUGUUACAAGCUCUACAAGUGUUCUCUUCUUCAGCAUGGAGCUCCUUCAAUAGCGAUCAAAUGUCGGACUCACGGACAGACAUAGCCAGGACUGGGCUGACAGAAAUACAACAUGCCUUCCACAGUCGCCCUAUUACAUGAAUCGGCUGAGAAGAAUCAGAAAAACUGGAGCCAAUAUAAUAUGAAUAUUCCAUUCAAAAAAUAUAGUAAAGGAGUUAAGGACAAUUCUUUAUAUAAUGAUAAACAGAUUUCAGCUAGUACCAAGCUUUUUUAGCCGAGCUAGUUAAAAUGAGAUAUUCAUACAAGACAAUAGAGACUAUAUGAAUAUGCAUGGCACAAGUGCAGGUCCUGGUUACUGGCUACACAUGUAACACCAAUAAAUGGAUAGAACAAUAACGGAACAACUCCAGAUUACAUACAAAGCUCUAUCCAUAGUGCCAGCUAUGGAUAAAAUCAUGCACACUCCCAACAGAACUCAGUCACACAGUAUAAUUCUAACUAUAAUAUAACCAAGAACUAAAGAUUGUCACACAGUAUAAUUCUGACUAUAAUAUAACCAAAGAACUAAAGAUUCUACGUACUUAGAACUCAACUAAUAAGUGAGAAUGAUCUGAUUGUAUGCAAACAAUUUUUUUUUAUUUGUUUAUAUUACAAAAACAGACAUAUCUUCCUUUAUGUGAAGAAGUUUGCUUCCUUCUUUAGUUAGUAGUAAUCGUUCCAUGCAAAUCAACCGUGUGUGUGUGCUUGAUCAUGGUCUGGAGAUUACACGCAUAGGGAACAGAAUCCUAAACAAAAUAGUAUCAAACAGCGGUGGGUGCUCAACCUAUUUGCCAUACACAAGCAACACUUAAAUCAUAGCAUGUGCAUAUACUUGUGUCACAUCAGGGGUUCAGAAUGUACUCAACAUAAUCUAAUAAAAAGUAUUGGGAGGAGAGGGAGAGAGAGGUAGAGAUGGACGUGCUACCUGUUGCUGCGGUGGUGCCUCUUGGUGGUCGUGCCUGAGCUCCUCCUGAAGCUGCUCACUAACCUGCAAGACAAACAAGACCAUGGAUGAGCUGCAACACAGGCACAUACAUUAAGUGAAGUGAAGAUAAGGAGAACAACCUGGAAGAAGAGAGGUGCUCUGUCCUCCGUCCGUGCCCGUCCUCCUCCUCCG